UAAAACUAAUGGAGCGAUUUUUAUAGUAUAAUAUACAAUAUUAAAAUUAAUUAAAAGUUUAAUUUAAUUCAGCCGUCGUAUGUAAGGGCGAGUGUGUGUGUGUGUGUGUGUGUGUGUGUGGCAAUUAAAACGCCCACGGCCCGCGGUUUAA
This is a non-coding RNA of Cinara cedri, 151 nucleotides long. Lineage: Eukaryota; Metazoa; Arthropoda; Insecta; Hemiptera; Aphididae. The record is from the annotation of a GenBank genome assembly.